RNAcentral lists this ribosomal RNA (253 nucleotides) under uncultured bacterium. Its description in RNAcentral is "partial 16S ribosomal RNA". It matches the Rfam family "Bacterial small subunit ribosomal RNA", at positions 524 to 776 of the family's 1533-position model. The record is from RNAcentral.
UACGUAGGUGGCGAACGUUAUCCGGAGUGACUGGGUGUAAAGGGUCCGUAGGCGGGAGAGCAAGUCUGACGUGAAAGCGCCUGGCUCAACUAGGCGACUGCGUUGGAAACUGCUGUUCUUGAAUCACGCAGAGGUCGGCGGAAUUCCCGGUGUAGUGGUGGAAUGCGUAGAGAUCGGGAGGAACCUCGAAAGCGAAGGCAGCCGACUGGGGGAUGAUUGACGCUGAGGGACGAAAGCGUGGGGAGCGAACAGG